GAAAUGCGAUAAGUAGUGUGAAUUGCAGAAUUCAGUGAAUCAUCGAAUCUUUGAACGAACAUUGCGCCCUUUGGUAUUCCAAAGGGCAUGCCUGUUCGAGCGUCAUUUGUACCCUCAAGCUUUGCUUGGUGUUGGGCGUCUUGUCUCUAGCUUUGCUGGAGACUCGCCUUAAAGUAAUUGGCAGCCGGCCUACUGGUUUCGGAGCGCAGCACAAGUCGCACUCUCUAUCAGCAAAGGUCUAGCAUCCAUUAAGCCUUUUUUCAACUUUUGACCUCGGAUCAGGUAGGGAUACCCGCUGAACUUAAGC
This 307-nucleotide unclassified non-coding RNA is filed under the name plant metagenome. Its description in RNAcentral is "partial contains 5.8S ribosomal RNA, internal transcribed spacer 2, and large subunit ribosomal RNA". The stretch from base 1 to 105 matches the Rfam family "5.8S ribosomal RNA", at positions 50 to 154 of the family's 154-position model. The record is from RNAcentral.